RNAcentral lists this ribosomal RNA (414 nucleotides) under Triticum aestivum (bread wheat). RNAcentral's name for it is "partial small subunit ribosomal RNA". The record is from RNAcentral. Lineage: Eukaryota; Viridiplantae; Streptophyta; Magnoliopsida; Poales; Poaceae.
AUGAAGGCCCAAAAUGCUAUAAAUGUGGUGAAGAGGGACACAUCCAGCGGUUGCCCACUAAGGAAAUUUGUUAACACAACUAUCCAUGAUGGUGAAGAUGACCAAGAAGAAUACGAAUCUGAAGAUGUAGAGGGGCAAGAGGUUUGUCAAGAAGAAGGUGAAGAGGUGGUAUGUGUGAUUCAGCGUCUCCUAUGUUCCACACCACAACCUGACAAUACACACCGCAAGAAAAUAUUUGAGAGCAAAUGCACGGUGAAUGGCAAGGUAUGCAAAUUAGUGAUUGAUAGUUGCAGUUGCGAGAAUCUUAUCUCCCAGAAGUUGGUGAACCAUUUAAAGCUUGAUACUCAUGAUCAUCCAAACCCCUACACUAUUGGGUGGAUCAAGAAAGGAGUGAAUAUGAGGAUCACCAAAUAA